Molecule: ribosomal RNA, 459 nt
Filed under: uncultured bacterium
Lineage: Bacteria
Description: partial 16S ribosomal RNA
Rfam family: Bacterial small subunit ribosomal RNA
Source: RNAcentral
CCUACGGGAGGCUGCAGUGAGGAAUAUUGGUCAAUGGGCGGAAGCCUGAACCAGCCAAGUCGCGUGCAGGAUGACGGCCCUACGGGUUGUAAACUGCUUUUAUACGGGAACAACGCGCCUCACGUGUAGGUCUUUGCAUGUACCCUAUGAAUAAGGACCGGCUAAAUCCGUGCCAGCAGCCGCGGUAAUACGGAGGGUCCGGGCGUUAUCCGGAUUUAUUGGGUUUAAAGGGAGCGCAGGCGGAGGUUCAAGGCAGCGGUAAAAUUUCGGGGCUCAACCCCGUCCUGCCGGGGAAACUGGGGUGCUUGAGUGCGCGGGAAGCAGGCGGAAUGCGUGGUGUAGCGGUGAAAUGCUUAGAUAUCACGCAGAACCCCGAUUGCGAAGGCAGCUUGCUGCAGCGGAACUGACGCUGAUGCACGAAAGCGCGGGUAUCGAACAGGAUUAGAUACCCUAGUAGUC